RNAcentral lists this long non-coding RNA (3178 nucleotides) under Ananas comosus (pineapple). RNAcentral describes it as "long non-coding RNA (ACOM_LNC020373)". Lineage: Eukaryota; Viridiplantae; Streptophyta; Magnoliopsida; Poales; Bromeliaceae. The record is from RNAcentral.
GUACAAUAGCCGGUUAUAGGCUGACUAAUUUCUUGGGAAGAAAAUCUAGUAGUUUGAUACAAAUAUAUGCUGAUUAUGUGCUAAAUCAUAUGUUGCUCUCAAAUUUUGUUUGCUCUCAUAAACCACUAACAAUUUUUUCUCAACUCUUAAGACUACAAUUGCAGUUCAACAAUUAUGGAAAUCUUUAACAAUAAUUAGGAAAGCUUUAAUCCACCUGCAGUUUCAGAUACAUCUUUAACAAUAAUUAGGAAAGCUUUAAUCCACCUGCAGUUUCAGAUACAAAUCAUUAACAAGUCAUAUGUUUCAAGAGUAGAAGUUGAUGAAAAGUUACUUCCCAUAAUUUAUCUCCUUGUAUCUUCCAUUUGUAGGCUUAGUUACCAAUAACAAAUCAUAUUCUAUCAUUUGGCUCUCCUAUUUUCUUCCUAUGAAUGCAUGGGAACUAGAUAAAUUUAAUUCACAGGAUAUGGGGGGUUUCAUGAAAUUGGUGUGCCAUUCUUCUACAUAAGACGGUAUGCUGACCUGUUGUAAAAUAAUUCUUUUUGGUACACGACAAGUCUAAGAAACUUUGUAGUCAAUGCUUUUGAGUUUGGCCAUAUUUCCCAGUUGAUUUGAAAAAGGGCACAAGUUGCUAUGAUUUGAAAUAGGGCAUUUUUUUAUGGUCCUCUUUUAAGUGACGAUAUAUGGUUUCAUGAUUCUAUCUUCUAUGUAAUAUGUAGGCCUUUUUUUAGUUCAUUUUGCUCCCCAAAACAUAUAUUUUCAGUUACUUCGAUGGUGUAUGUGUUGUAUACGUGCUGGAUCAUAUCUUGCACCCUAGUUAGUUCAGUUUCCUCUCAAAAGCCUCGUUCUUUUCCACUAGAUGAUGAUAAUAUAUGUUGUAUGUAUGCUGAUCGAAUCAUAUCUCGCUGUCUAGUUUGUUUUGCUCUCGUAAAGGUCUAAUAUAAUACUCAGUUUGCCGAAGAUGUAUGCUGUAUAUCACUUAAUCCGCUCAGUUCAAGUUGUUCUCUUAUGCUAAGUUGUAGUUAGGUUGAUAGAAUUUAUGCGAUGAAUUACUAAUUUGAUGUCCAUUCAGCUCAUUUUGCUCUCCUAAAACUCCAAUUUAGUUAGUUUGAUGAAUAUAUGUGUUGUAUAUGUUCUGGAUCAUAUCAUGCUAUAAGGUUUGUUCUUUGUCAUCUUAGAUAUUAAUUCUUUUUGACACGAUGUUUGACCUACAAUUGUGGUUUAUUUAUAAUAGCAACGAUAUGAGGCUGGGGGUCCUAGUAAUAUAGGUAUAGUGGCGAGGAUCUUUCCUUGUGGUCGCCUUGUUUUCAUAAGGUAAUCAGUUUAUAAGUCCUCAUCUAAUUAUCAGUUAAGUAUGCAUGCAAGUUGUGGCAAACAUACUUUUUAUGCCUGAUAUUUCAGUUUGCUCGCACAAAACUCUAAUCAUGGGUUAGCGUCACGGUUAUAUGCUGGUUAUUGUUGAAUCAUUUCUUGUGAUCUAAUUAGUCUAUAUUGAUCCCCUGACACUAAUACUUAAUCAAUUUAAUUAAUAUGUGGGUUUUGAUUAAUACAUAUGCUGGUUGUGUUGAAUCAUUUUUUGCUCUAUUAAUUGUUUUGUUUUCUCGCGUGAACUCCGCAUUAUGAUUUAGUUUGUUGACUAGUUGUGUGAUGUAUUAUACCUUCUUGCCCAAUUAGCUCAUUCUGCUCAUUUUCAGUUUGUUUGAUGAAAUAUAUUCAGCAUUGUGCUGAAUCAUAUCUUGCCAUUAAGUUUUGUUUGUUUUCGUAAACCUCCAAUACUUUUUGAUAGAAGUAUACGAUGUAUAUUGCUGAAUCUUAUCUUGCUAUUCAGUUUAGUUUGCUCUCUUAAACAUCUAUUUUUCAGUUAUGUUAUUAAUUAUAAUUCACAAUCUUUUUAUUCAUUUUGCUCUUCUAAAAGGCUUCUAAAAGUCAAGCAUCAGUAAGUUUAAUGAAUAUAUGCGUUGUAAUGCGCCUGGUCAGUUCAUUGUGCUAGUAUGAUGAGAUGGGUGGCUCAUCCUCUGUUUGCUGCAUCCGUCGUACAUGCAUGAGACAUUGUGUAGCUGUAUUAUAUUUAGUUUCAUAUUAGAUUCCAAACAUGCAUAUAAUUUUAGGCAGUGUUUGGAUUGGGGAUAAGGGGAGGGAUAACCCCUUAUCCCCCCCUUUAUACCCAAACGCAAAUUUUUUACCCGAGAAUAGUAGUUCUCGAGUACCUAAAAUAUUCUGAUAUAACUAUUUCCACCAACACCUUCAUUUUCUAUAUAUAACUACCCACUAUUUUUCUUAUUUCAUAUUAUCUAUCCAAACGCUAUUUUUCUUAUCUCCGGGAAGAAUUCAAUUUUCAUCCAAACGUUAUUUUUCUUAUCUCCAAACUUGUAUCUAUCCCUGUAAGAGCUAAUUCUUGCUUAUAUCCGAACCAAACGCUACUCAUAUGACAGCUUAUAGUUUUUGGAUUGGGUGGUUAGAGAAUGGGGAUGACUAAAGCAAGCGGGAGAGAAAUAAAAGGGAAAACAAUAUAUAUGAAACAAUUUGCAUUUUCAUGGUGCUGCGAUUUAGGUCAGAAGUAUUAUAAGGUAAUUGUGUGGCUAGAAAAUUUUGUUGAAAGAAAGUACACGUUUGCAAAAAAAGAAAAUAAAAUGUGUAGCUAAGAGGAUCCUGACACCCUCGUUAAGUUCAUAUGAAAAAAACCUAAAUUAAACUAAUGUAUCUAAAGAUUGAGUGCAACUAAUUUCUUGCCAAUGAGAUUUAAUGCGAAAUACUGAGUAAUUCAAAUUGGGUCUAGACAACAUCGCAAAGUCCGGUAGAUCAUCCCUUGCCUUCUAAGAUGCGCUUUGUUUUGGAGGUGCGGAACUAAUAGAUGGGGCCAACUAAUAAAUUCUUAGGUGUCUUGGUUCCUCUAUUUUAGGAAUGUUGUAUUGUACAAGUAGUCAGAUAUGAUUAUCUGAGAGAGUUGGCAGAUUGUUUUUAAGUUUAUGUGGUUUAAGCGGCGAAUGGUAAAAGUAGGCAUCCAAGUCGAACUUGAAACUAAGAUGUGGUUGGCUGAUAGUUUCUUUAUUCAAGUCAAACUUGGAACUUUUUAAUUAUAAAUAGGCAUUCAAAUUUUGUAUUUGUAAAUUUAGAUUUAAGCAAUAAAUGAUUUAUUGCUUUUAGAAAUCGCUUUUACGUAACGUAUAUGUUUUCCGCAUCC